CCUACGGGUGGCUGCAGUGGGGAAUAUUGGACAAUGGGCGAAAGCCUGAUCCAGCCAUGCCGCGUGUGUGAAGAAGGCCUUCGGGUUGUAAAGCACUUUCAGUGGGGAAGAAAGCCUUGGGGCUAAUACCCUCGAGGAAGGACAUCACCCACAGAAGAAGCACCGGCUAACUCCGUGCCAGCAGCCGCGGUAAUACGGAGGGUGCGAGCGUUAAUCGGAAUUACUGGGCGUAAAGCGCGCGUAGGCGGUCUGAUAAGCCGGUUGUGAAAGCCCCGGGCUCAACCUGGGAACGGCAUCCGGACCUGUCAGGCUAGAGUGCAGGAGAGGAAGGUAGAAUUCCCGGUGUAGCGGUGAAAUGCGUAGAGAUCGGGAGGAAUACCAGUGGCGAAGGCGGCCUUCUGGACUGACACUGACGCUGAGGUGCGAAAGCGUGGGUAGCAAACAGGAUUAGAUACCCCAGUAGUC
This 465-nucleotide ribosomal RNA is filed under the name Vreelandella stevensii. Its description in RNAcentral is "partial 16S ribosomal RNA". It matches the Rfam family "Bacterial small subunit ribosomal RNA", at positions 338 to 795 of the family's 1533-position model. Lineage: Bacteria; Pseudomonadati; Pseudomonadota; Gammaproteobacteria; Oceanospirillales; Halomonadaceae. The record is from RNAcentral.